AGAGUUUGAUCAUGGCUCAGGAUGAACGCUGGCGGCGCACUUAAGACAUGCAAGUCGAACGGAAAUUCAAUGUACAGAAGUAAGCUUGAACAAGUAGCUUGCUACAAGGGAAAGACUAUGGAAGUUUUUUGAAUUUUAGUGGCGGACGGGUGAGUAAUACGUAGGCAACCUGCCUAGAAGAGGGGGAUAACACUUAGAAAUAGGUGCUAAUACCGCAUAAGACCACAGUAUCGCAUGGUACAGGGGUCAAAGGAGAAAUCCGCUUUUAGAUGGGCCUGCGGCUGAUUAGCUUGUUGGCGGGGUAACGGCCCACCAAGGCAACGAUCGGUAGGGGUUCUGAGAGGAAGGUCCCCCACAUUGGAACUGAGACACGGUCCAAACUCCUACGGGAGGCAGCAGUGAGGAAUAUUGGUCAAUGGGCGGAAGCCUGAACCAGCCAAGUAGCGUGCAGGAUGACGGCCCUACGGGUUGUAAACUGCUUUUUUGCGGGAAUAAAGCGGCUCACGCGUGGGCCUUUGCAUGUACCGCACGAAUAAGGACCGGCUAAUUCCGUGCCAGCAGCCGCGGUAAUACGGAAGGUCCGGGCGUUAUCCGGAUUUAUUGGGUUUAAAGGGAGCGUAGGCCGCCUUUUAAGCGUGCUGUGAAAUACCGUUGCCCAACAACGGGGCUGCAGCGCGAACUGGAGGGCUUGAGUUCACGGGAAGCCGGCGGAAUUCGUCGUGUAGCGGUGAAAUGCUUAGAUAUGACGAAGAACUCCGAUUGCGAAGGCAGCCGGCUGUAGUGUUACUGACGCUGAAGCUCGAAAGUGCGGGUAUCGAACAGGAUUAGAUACCCUGGUAGUCCGCACGGUAAACGAUGGACGCCCGCUGUGCGCCCUUUAGGGUGCGCGGCCUAGCGAAAGCGUUAAGCGUCCCACCUGGGGAGUACGCCGGCAACGGUGAAACUCAAAGGAAUUGACGGGGGCCCGCACAAGCGGAGGAACAUGUGGUUUAAUUCGAUGAUACGCGAGGAACCUUACCCGGGCUUGAACUGCAGAGGAAAGAUCCAGAGAUGGUGAUGCCCUUCGGGGCCUCUGCGGAGGUGCUGCAUGGUUGUCGUCAGCUCGUGCCGUGAGGUGUCGGCUUAAGUGCCAUAACGAGCGCAACCCCUUUCCCCAGUUGCCAUCGGGUAAUGCCGGGCACUCCGGGGACACUGCCACCGCAAGGUGCGAGGAAGGUGGGGAUGACGUCAAAUCAGCACGGCCCUUACGUCCGGGGCUACACACGUGUUACAAUGGGGCAUACAGCGGGCCGGGAGCGCGCAAGCGCUCUCCAAUCAUGAAAGUGCCCCCUAGUUCGGACUGGGGUCUGCAACCCGACCCCACGAAGCUGGAUUCGCUAGUAAUCGCGCAUCAGCCAUGGCGCGGUGAAUACGUUCCCGGGCCUUGUACUCACCGCCCGU
RNAcentral lists this ribosomal RNA (1440 nucleotides) under uncultured bacterium. Its description in RNAcentral is "bacterial SSU rRNA". It matches the Rfam family "Bacterial small subunit ribosomal RNA". The record is from RNAcentral.